This 632-nucleotide ribosomal RNA is filed under the name bacterium endosymbiont of Plateumaris nitida. RNAcentral describes it as "bacterial SSU rRNA". It matches the Rfam family "Bacterial small subunit ribosomal RNA", at positions 341 to 965 of the family's 1533-position model. The record is from RNAcentral.
ACGGGAGGCAGCAGUGGGGAAUAUUGCACAAUGGGCGAAAGCCUGAUGCAGCUAUGCCGCGUGUAUGAAGAAGGCCUUUGGGUUGUAAAGUACUUUCAACAAGAAAGAAAUAAUAAAAUUUAAUAAAUUUUAUUACUGACGUUACUUGUAAAAGAAGCACCGGCUAACUCCGUGCCAGCAGCCGCGGUAAUACGGAGGGUGCGAGCGUUAAUCGGAAUUACUGGGCGUAAAGAGCACGUAGGCGGUAUAUUAAGUCAGAUGUGAAAUCCCUGAGCUUAACUUAGGAAUUGCAUUUGAAACUAAUAUGCUUGAGUUUCGUAGAGGGGGGUAGAAUUCCAGGUGUAGCGGUGAAAUGCGUAGAUAUCUGGAGGAAUACCAGUGGCGAAGGCGACCCCCUGGACGAAUACUGACGCUCAGGUGCGAAAGCAUGGGUAGCAAACAGGAUUAGAUACCCUGGUAGUCCAUGCUGUAAACGAUGUCGACUUGGAGGUUGUAAGCUUGACUUAUAACUUUCGUAGCUAACGCGUUAAGUCGACCGCCUGGGGAGUACGACCGCAAGGUUAAAACUCAAAUGAAUUGACGGGGGCCCGCACAAGCGGUGGAGCAUGUGGUUUAAUUCGAAGCAACGCGAA